RNAcentral lists this small RNA (125 nucleotides) under Marmota monax (woodchuck). The record is from RNAcentral. Lineage: Eukaryota; Metazoa; Chordata; Mammalia; Rodentia; Sciuridae.
GCUGGGCACAGCGGUGCACGCCUGUAAUCUCAGCAGCUAGGGAGGCUGAGGCAGGAGGAUCAUGAAUUCAAAGCCAGCCUCAGCAACUGUAAGACACUAAGCAACUCAGUGAGACCCUGUCUCUA